RNAcentral lists this long non-coding RNA (848 nucleotides) under Chrysemys picta bellii (western painted turtle). RNAcentral's name for it is "lncRNA (ENSCPBG00000028349.1)". The record is from RNAcentral. Lineage: Eukaryota; Metazoa; Chordata; Testudines; Emydidae.
AAAUCUGGCAUGUUUAACUACAGAGACAUCAGGAUGUGUUAGAGCUUCUUAAAACAAUAUAACUAAAUGAGCCUAAGCGAUUGUUUCUUUUACUUACCAAAAAAAUCUGAAUUUUAUUUUAUUAUUGCUUAAAUAGCAAUAUUUGGCAGUGGGUGAAAACGUACCUUUCAUAUCAGUGCAAGGAAAAAUUAAAACAGAAAUGAAAAAUGAAGAAGUUGGUUAUACCAGAAAUCACUGAAGGCCUGAGCGCAAGUGUUUCUGGCAUGUUCAAGCAAGCUGGCCAGCACACCAGGAGCAUCAGGAAGAUGAUGCAGAGUCAACCACAGCACACUGUGUCCCAGACUGCCUGCACCAGAGUUCAGACAGUCUUGUCUGCUACCUGCUUUUGUCCCACAGUUGGGUGAGAGUCAUUCUGUAUUUUAUUAUUUUCUUAAUAUAUACACAUAUAUUCUAUUGCCAUUUACCAGUUACUGCCCUGAUCUGUGCAUUUUGAAUCUGUCAGCCAAACCACUUGAGCUUUUGUUUUCCGUGUUGGCCUUAUGCUUAUCUAGGAAAUACAUACCCUCAUAUAACCAUUCAUUUCUCUCAUAUGAUCUUCUGCUUGUCUCUGGUUCACAUGUUUGAAUUUAUUUCCCUGUUGCUCCAUUCCUACUCCUUCACUUGCUGAUGACAAUUUUGCUAGUGACAAAGCCUCCAGAGACUGCAGAGUAGCACAGAUAAGACAGAUUUGGGUUUUGCAGAGGUUUGGGGUUUGCCCACAGUCAAGGAGUGCAAUGGGAGACGAUGGAAGGAGAGGGAGGAAAGUGUCCUGGCCACAGGUGCACAGGGAGACAGGUGCUUAACCAAAC